GUAUCAUAUAACUGUGGAGUGUCCAGCGUCCCUCACGUUCGGGGCUUCCUCCACAGGCAUCCCUAUAGGUAAUGAUGCCAUCAAGUAUCAGGUCUUGCAGAGUUGCGAUGUCAAUUUCAAUCGGUGAUUUGAUCAGGGCAACUUUGGAGCUUCAAGGAGCUCAAGGAGUGUGUUUGUGGCUUGAAAUUCGUUAAAGAAGCAUGGUACGAGACCUCAUAAAAGUGUGCCAAGGGACACCAACAAAAUAUGCUGCGGCACCACGCCUUAAUUUUGUUCAGAUAACCGUGUUGCGGGCCAUACAACCUAAAACUGUCGUGGGGCAACUUGCUCUAUUUGCACGAUUUCGAGGUUUUGGUGCCUCCGAAUUAUUCAGGGUAACUUCUAAGUGUGAAGACAUCUUGUUGGAAUAUUUUGCAUAUUUCAUACAUUGCAUAUAUACAUUUUAGAGGAGUUUGGAAAAUAUUGAGCAUUGUUCUUAUAUAUAUAUAUUCGGAAAACAAAGGGUAAUUUAGAUCCAAAUAUGAAUAAAUCUGGUGACUGGGUUGGCAUAUAUAGUUAGUUAUUUAGAAAAGCAAAGGAAAUUUACAUCGCAUUGCGGACAUUUUCAUUUAAUGGGGGAUUAAGAAAGUGAUCAAAAUUAAAAGAGGACAUAGUGUAAUGAUGCACAUUUUUUGUCCGGUAAUUAAGAUAUCAGGUUCAAUAUUCAAUGAAAUUUCUUUUAUUAACUAUUAUGAUUUCUAUUUCAUUAUGUUAAGUCAAUGAAUCUCCUUUAUAACCUAAAAAAAAUUAUCAAAGAGAUAAAUAAAUAAAUAAGCUAUAUAAUCAUAUAUAUAUAUAUAUAUGUAUGCACAUAAGUAAAUGGUGGUUUUGGAGGUAAAUGAAGAGAAUGUUGAUAGAAUUCGUAUGGAAACAGCCAGCUCGAUUUUUUAAGUUGGUCAUAAAAUUUACCCGUGAAAAGUCGACCAAGUUUGAUCAAACUACAGGUCCGCUCCAUAAUUUUUGCAAUAUUUCGUAUAACAUUCUUAGUCAUGCUCAAUUGUUUCAAUUUAAAUUGCAAUAAUGCAAGUUGUGUAUGCAAGCUAUAUAAACAUAUAUAUCUAUAUAUAAUAAAAUUACCGAAGCGAGAAGGUACAAAAUAAUUUUCUUUUUCGGGGUUGAGAAAAAUAAUUAAAGAAGGACAAAUGGAAUGCGUAAAUUUAUUGUUUUUGUCCAUUUUGACCAUAUAUAUACACAUAGUGAAGAUGGGCUUGUAAAAGUAGCGUUAAUGGCGUCAGAUACAAUUGAUAGAAUAUAUUUUAUUGUAACGAUUUUGAAACUUUUUAUAUCAAAAAAAUAUUUUAAAUUAAUUUAAAAUAUUUAUAAAAUUUUUUAGAUCAUCGAUGUAAUUAAUAUUUAUUUUAAAGAAAAAGAAAGUGACAGAUAAAUUAGAGGGAAAAUGAACGAGUGGUCGAAAAUAAAUGCAGAGGAUAGAGACGGGGGAAUCCUAGUCAUUUCCUUCAUCCCCUAUCAGUUCUCACCAACACCACCCCCUCCCCCCCGGGAAGUUUGACGGUCGUUUUCUCCCCAUUUUUUUUCCCUGCCUUUUUUUAACUCCUCAUCUCUCUCUCUCUCUCUCCCCUCCCCACCCCCCCGGGUGUCACCAUCCAUGGCUUCUCGGUGCGGCUGCAGCUUCUUCUUCUUCUUCUUCUUCUUCUUCUUUUUCUAUAUUGUCUCUCUGAUCCACCGGUUCCACGCCCAAGCCGUCUCCUUGCCGAACACAUUCCUCCUCCCAGUCACCAAAGACGCCUCCAGCCUCCAGUACCUCGCCAAGAUCCGCCCCGGUGGCGAUUCUCAGCGUCCCCUCACCCUCGUCCUCGAUCUCAGCCGCCCCUAGCUCUGGACCUCCAUGAUGCCGUGAAGAUGAAGACUAGGGUUUUAUAAUUUCAUUUGGCCUUUUGAAUUUUUUUAUUUUUCAAAUUUACUUUUAGGUCCUUCUUGUUUAAAAAAUUCUGAAUUCAUCCAAGCGAUCGGUUUACGUAGGUUUAUCUAAAAACUGUUCAAUUUUUUUGAGAUCACCGAUCUAUUUAUGCAUUUUCAAUUUUUAAGCUAAUCGGAUCGGAUAUAAAUUCGAUUUUCGGUUCAA
This is a non-coding RNA of Punica granatum (pomegranate), 2122 nucleotides long. The record is from RefSeq and is a predicted model, not a curated record. Lineage: Eukaryota; Viridiplantae; Streptophyta; Magnoliopsida; Myrtales; Lythraceae.